RNAcentral lists this unclassified non-coding RNA (194 nucleotides) under plant metagenome. Its description in RNAcentral is "partial contains small subunit ribosomal RNA and internal transcribed spacer 1". The stretch from base 1 to 46 matches the Rfam family "Eukaryotic small subunit ribosomal RNA", at positions 1786 to 1831 of the family's 1831-position model. The record is from RNAcentral.
AAGUCGUAACAAGGUUUCCGUAGGUGAACCUGCGGAAGGAUCAUUAAUGAAAUUCAAGGAUGCUCUUUUUAGAGGUCCGACCAAUAUCAUUUUCCAACACUGUGAACUCACUACUCUUUUUACACCCAUUUUUAAAACACAAAAGUCUAUAAGAAUGUAAAAGUCUCUUAAUUGAGCAUAAAGUUAUAAUAAAA